Molecule: ribosomal RNA, 200 nt
Filed under: uncultured bacterium
Lineage: Bacteria
Description: partial 16S ribosomal RNA
Rfam family: Bacterial small subunit ribosomal RNA
Source: RNAcentral
AACGAACGCUGGCGGCAUGCCUAACACAUGCAAGUCGAACGAAGGCUUCGGCCUUAGUGGCGCACGGGUGCGUAACGCGUGGGAAUCUGCCCUUGGGUUCGGAAUAACAGUGAGAAAUUACUGCUAAUACCGGAUGAUGUCGAAAGACCAAAGAUUUAUCGCCCGAGGAUGAGCCCGCGUAGGAUUAGCUAGUUGGUGAG